This 496-nucleotide ribosomal RNA is filed under the name uncultured bacterium. RNAcentral's name for it is "partial 16S ribosomal RNA". It matches the Rfam family "Bacterial small subunit ribosomal RNA", at positions 28 to 506 of the family's 1533-position model. The record is from RNAcentral.
GAUGAACGCUGGCGGCGUGCCUAAUACAUGCAAGUCGAGCGAACGGACGAGAAGCUUGCUUUUCUGAUGUUAGCGGCGGACGGGUGAGUAACACGUGGAUAACCUACCUAUAAGACUGGGAUAACUUCGGGAAACCGGAGCUAAUACCGGAUAAUAUUUUGAACCGCAUGGUUCAAAAGUGAAAGACGGUCUUGCUGUCACUUAUAGAUGGAUCCGCGCUGCAUUAGCUAGUUGGUAAGGUAACGGCUUACCAAGGCAACGAUGCAUAGCCGACCUGAGAGGGUGAGCGGCAACGAGGAAGAGGAGACGGGACCCAGCCUCCUAGGGGGGGCAGGAGGAGGAAAUCGUCCGCAAGGGGCGAAAGCCUGAGGGAGCAGCGCCGGGGGGGUGAUAAAGGUUUUAGUAUCAAAAAACACCUUUAUGGGGAAAAAACAGAUGGGAAAGAAGCGGUACACAUUUGGAGGUAACCAAACGAGAGAGCAGCGGAUACCUGGGU